GUGAGGAAUAUUGGACAAUGGGCGCAAGCCUGAUCCAGCCAUGCCGCGUGCAGGAAGACGCAUCUAUGGUGUGUAAACUGCUUUUGUACGGGAAGAAACACUCCCUCGUGAGGGAGCUUGACGGUACCGUAAGAAUAAGGAUCGGCUAACUCCGUGCCAGCAGCCGCGGUAAUACGGAGGAUCCAAGCGUUAUCCGGAAUCAUUGGGUUUAAAGGGUCCGUAGGCGGAUUAAUAAGUCAGUGGUGAAAGCCCAUCGCUCAACGAUGGAACGGCCAUUGAUACUGUUAGACUUGAAUUACAAGGAAGUAACUAGAAUAUGUAGUGUAGCGGUGAAAUGCUUAGAUAUUACAUGGAAUACCAAUUGCGAAGGCAGGUUACUACUUGUGGAUUGACGCUGAUGGACGAAAACGUGGGGAGCGAACAGGAUUAGAUACCCUAGUAGUCC
Molecule: ribosomal RNA, 445 nt
Filed under: uncultured bacterium
Lineage: Bacteria
Description: partial 16S ribosomal RNA
Rfam family: Bacterial small subunit ribosomal RNA
Source: RNAcentral